AGCUCCGAUAGCGUAUAUUAAAGUUGUUGCAGUUAAAAAGCUCGUAGUUGAACUUCUAAGGAUUGAAGUCGCCUUAUGGCUUGUAUUGAUAUCCUUAUCCGCUUUGAUUUAGCAAUACGCACUUUGUUGGGCGAUUGUGUAAUCAGGCAAUUUACUUUGAAAAAAUUAGAGUGUUUCAAGCAAGCGCUUCGCUGGAAUACAUUAGCAUGGAAUAAUAGAAUAUGACCUUUGUUCAUUUAUUGGUCCAAUGAGUGGAGGUAAUGAUUAACAGGGACAGUUGGGGGCAUUAGUAUUGCUUUGUCAGAGGUGAAAUUCAUUGAUUAUCGCAAGACUAACUUAUGCGAAAGCAUUUGCCAAGGAUGUUUUCA
Molecule: ribosomal RNA, 368 nt
Filed under: Colpodea sp. BioMarKs_Marine_Colpodea_OTU_20
Lineage: Eukaryota; Ciliophora; Colpodea
Description: bacterial SSU rRNA
Rfam family: Eukaryotic small subunit ribosomal RNA
Source: RNAcentral